GAAGGUAUAGCUCAGUGGUAGAGCACAUACUUAGAAUACAUGAGGUCCUGGGUUCAAAUCUCAGUACCUCCA
Vicugna pacos (alpaca) is the source of this 72-nucleotide non-coding RNA. The record is from the annotation of a RefSeq genome assembly. Lineage: Eukaryota; Metazoa; Chordata; Mammalia; Artiodactyla; Camelidae.